GAUGAACGCUGGCGGCGUGCUUAACACAUGCAAGUCGAACGAAGCACUUUAUUUGAUUUCCUUCGGGACUGAUUAUUUUGUGACUGAGUGGCGGACGGGUGAGUAACGCGUGGGUAACCUGCCUUGUACAGGGGGAUAACAGUUGGAAACGGCUGCUAAUACCGCAUAAGCGCACGGCAUCGCAUGAUGCAGUGUGAAAAACUCCGGUGGUAUAAGAUGGACCCGCGUUGGAUUAGUUAGUUGGUGAGGUAACGGCCCACCAAGGCGACGAUCCAUAGCCGACCUGAGAGGGUGACCGGCCACAUUGGGACUGAGACACGGCCCAAACUCCUACGGGAGGCAGCAGUGGGGAAUAUUGCACAAUGGGCGAAAGCCUGAUGCAGCGACGCCGCGUGAGCGAAGAAGUAUUUCGGUAUGUAAAGCUCUAUCAGCAGGGAAGAUAAUGACGGUACCUGACUAAGAAGCACCGGCUAAAUACGUG
RNAcentral lists this ribosomal RNA (481 nucleotides) under uncultured bacterium. Its description in RNAcentral is "partial 16S ribosomal RNA". It matches the Rfam family "Bacterial small subunit ribosomal RNA", at positions 28 to 507 of the family's 1533-position model. The record is from RNAcentral.